This 252-nucleotide ribosomal RNA is filed under the name uncultured bacterium. Its description in RNAcentral is "partial 16S ribosomal RNA". It matches the Rfam family "Bacterial small subunit ribosomal RNA", at positions 15 to 278 of the family's 1533-position model. The record is from RNAcentral.
GAUCCUGCUCAGAACGAACGCUGGCGGCAGGCUUAACACAUGCAAGUUGAACGGGAUUUGUAUGGUGCUUGCACCAUGUAAUGAGAGUAGCGCACUGGUGAGUAACACGUGGGAACAUACCUUGAAGUGGGGGACAACAGUUGGAAACGACUGCUAAUACCGCAUAAUCCCUGAGGGGGAAAGAUUUAUCGCUUUAAGAUUGGCCCGCGGAAGAUUAGGUAGUUGGUGGGGUAAAGGCCUACCAAGCCGACG